Molecule: ribosomal RNA, 407 nt
Filed under: uncultured bacterium
Lineage: Bacteria
Description: partial 16S ribosomal RNA
Rfam family: Bacterial small subunit ribosomal RNA
Source: RNAcentral
GACGAACGCUGGCGGCGUGCCUAAUACAUGCAAGUAGAACGCAGUUGCGAACGGGUGAGUAACGCGUAGGUAACUGCCUCAUAGCGGGGGAUAACUAUUGGAAACGAUAGCUAAUACCGCAUACUGUGAGAUGGACCUGCGUUGUAUUAGCUAGUUGGUGAGGUAAAGGCGCACCAAGGCGACGAUACAUAGCCGACCUGAGCGGGUGAGCGGCCACAUCGGGACUGAGACACGGCCCAGACUCCGUAGGGAGGCAGCAGUAGGGAAACUUCGGAAAUGGACGGAAGGCUGACCGAGCACAGCCGCGGGAGUGAAGAAGGGUUUCGGAUCGUAAAGCUCCGUUGUUUGAGAAGCGGUAACUACCCAGAAAGGGACGGCUAACUACGUGCCAGCAGCCGCGGUAAUUC